CCUACGGGAGGCAGCAGUAGGGAAUUUUCGUCAAUGGGCGCAAGCCUGAACGAGCGAUGCCGCGUGAGUGAAGAAGGCCUUCGGGUCGUAAAGCUCUGUUGCGGGGGAAAAAAGGCAGCAUUAGGAAAUGGGUGCUGACUGAUGGUGCCCCGCCAGAAAGUCCCGGCUAACUACGUGCCAGCAGCCGCGGUAAUACGUAGGGGGCGAGCGUUAUCCGGAAGGAUUGGGCGUAAAGGGUGCGCAGGCGGUCCUGCAAGUCUGGAGUGAAACGCAUGGGCUCAACUCAUGCAUGGCUUUGGAAACUGGAGGACUGGAGAGCAGGAGAGGGCGGUGGAACUCCAUGUGUAGCGGUAAAAUGCGUAGAUAUAUGGAAGAACACCAGUGGCGAAGGCGGCCACCUGGCCUGUUGCUGACGCUGAGGCACGAAAGCGUGGGGAGCAAAUAGGAUUAGAUACCCUAGUAGUC
Molecule: ribosomal RNA, 465 nt
Filed under: uncultured bacterium
Lineage: Bacteria
Description: partial 16S ribosomal RNA
Rfam family: Bacterial small subunit ribosomal RNA
Source: RNAcentral